AGUGAACGCUGGCGGUAGGCCUAACACAUGCAAGUCGAACCGCAGCACAGUAAGAGCUUGCUCUUACGGGUGGCGAGUGGCGGACGGGUGAGGAAUACAUCGAAAUCUACUUUUUCGUGGGGGAUAACGUAGGGAAACUUACGCUAAUACCGCAUACGACCUACGGGUGAAAGCAGGGGAUCUUCGGACCUUGCGCGAUUGAAUGAGCCGAUGUCGGAUUAGCUAGUUGGCGGGGUAAAGGCCCACCAAGGCGACGAUCCGUAGCUGGUCUGAGAGGAUGAUCAGCCACACUGGAACUGAGACACGGUCCAGACUCCUACGGGAGGCAGCAGUGGGGAAUAUUGGACAAUGGGCGCAAGCCUGAUCCAGCCAUACCGCGUGGGUGAAGAAGGCCUUCGGGUUGUAAAGCCCUUUUGUUGGGAAAGAAAAGCAGCAGGUUAAUACCCCGCUGUUCUGACGGUACCCAAAGAAUAAGCACCGGCUAACUUCGUG
RNAcentral lists this ribosomal RNA (492 nucleotides) under uncultured bacterium. RNAcentral describes it as "partial 16S ribosomal RNA". It matches the Rfam family "Bacterial small subunit ribosomal RNA", at positions 29 to 507 of the family's 1533-position model. The record is from RNAcentral.